GACCUGCGGAGGGAUCAUUACACAAAUAUGAAGGCGGGCUGGAACCUCUCGGGGUUACAGCCUUGCUGAAUUAUUCACCCUUGUCUUUUGCGUACUUCUUGUUUCCUUGGUGGGUUCGCCCACCACUAGGACAAACAUAAACCUUUUGUAAUUGCAAUCAGCGUCAGUAACAAAUUAAUAAUUACAACUUUCAACAACGGAUCUCUUGGUUCUGGCAUCGAUGAAGAACGCAGCGAAAUGCGAUAAGUAGUGUGAAUUGCAGAAUUCAGUGAAUCAUCGAAUCUUUGAACGCACAUUGCGCCCUUUGGUAUUCCAAAGGGCAUGCCUGUCCGAGCGUCAUUUGUACCCUCAAGCUUUGCUUGGUGUUGGGCGUCUUGUCUCUAGCUUUGCUGGAGACUCGCCUUAAAGUAAUUGGCAGCCGGCCUACUGGUUUCGGAGCGCAGCACAAGUCGCACUCUCUAUCAGCAAAGGUCUAGCAUCCAUUAAGCCUUUUUUUCAACUUUUGACCUCGGAUCAGGUAGGGAUACCCGCUGAACUUAAGCAUAUCAAUAAGCGGAGGAA
Molecule: ribosomal RNA, 561 nt
Filed under: uncultured Pleosporaceae
Lineage: Eukaryota; Fungi; Ascomycota; Dothideomycetes; Pleosporales; Pleosporaceae
Description: eukaryotic LSU rRNA
Rfam family: 5.8S ribosomal RNA (bases 186-339)
Source: RNAcentral